Molecule: long non-coding RNA, 978 nt
Organism: Musa acuminata AAA Group (dessert banana)
Lineage: Eukaryota; Viridiplantae; Streptophyta; Magnoliopsida; Zingiberales; Musaceae
Exons: 2
Source: RefSeq, a predicted model, not a curated record
AUGACUUGACUUGAUUGGGGUCUCUGCUGUGGUCCAUGGUGAGUUUAUAAGUCCCCUUGGCUGUAUCAGAAGGGGAGAGGGUAAGAUGUAACUCUUGGACUUGGUUAAAUCUGGACCUGCUUGAAUCAGUGAAGUUAUCAGAUUGGUGAUGCUCUGAGUCUGAACCAUGUUACUAUGUUCUUCAUACUCGACUGCUGAAUGAUGAUCGUGAGAUUGCAUGCUUAUAUGAUCAAGAGAUUGGAGAUAAAUCCUGUCACAAAAUCCCUCAACAAGAAGCACAAGAUGACAUUUUUUGUUGGUAAUUUGCUUGUACAGGCACCACUGAGGAUCUUUAGCCAUGUUGAGAUAAGUGGGGAAAAAGAUCUCCAUGCAAACCUUCAUCAAGACAAAAAGAGUAGUUCCUCGAAGGAAAAUAUUGGUGUGGGUGGCAAACUUGUUGUCUCCACCAGCUUCCUGUAGUAGUCCAACAAUAAUGGCAGUUUCACCACUUCCUCCUUAUCUGUGGGUGUCCCAAUUAUUGGUGUUGCAGUUGUAAGUCCUUUUCUGCUUUCCUGGACCUAAUGAUCUGUCAACGUUGGUUCAGGUCAUGAGAACUUGGACUUCAUUCAUGGUGCAGUGCAACACUUCGUUGUCUGCAAAUGCUUUGAAGCACUUUCCUUCUUGUCAACAAGUUUGGUGAAGGAAUCAUUCAGCACCAGUGAAUAGGCUUGGAAGCCGAGGAGUGUGGAUUGCGUAUUGUAAGCUGAAGCUUCAUCUUCAUCUUCAUCUUCAUCUUCGGAUAGCUGAGUUCCAGAAGAGCGUUGAACAUUCCAUCAGAUGCAGUGCAGCAGCCUCUUUUGACCAAAUCAAUAUAUUUGCAAGAGGUCAUUCUCUCGUACACUCGUUUUUGUCUCCAACCGUGUGAUUGAGGCUCUCUGCCUAAAACCACACGUACCUGUAUGAACAGCUAAUGGUUGUCUUUUUGUCCUGAUUCUUUUA